RNAcentral lists this ribosomal RNA (350 nucleotides) under Aurantiochytrium limacinum. RNAcentral describes it as "partial Bacterial small subunit ribosomal RNA". It matches the Rfam family "Bacterial small subunit ribosomal RNA", at positions 1 to 357 of the family's 1533-position model. The record is from RNAcentral. Lineage: Eukaryota; Bigyra; Thraustochytrida; Thraustochytriidae.
UACGGAGAGUUUGAUCCUGGCUCAGGAUGAACGCUGGCGGUAUGCCUUACACAUGCAAGUCGUACGAGAGUUUUUAACUCUAGUGGCGGACGGGUGAGUAACACGUGGGUAACCUACCUAUAAGACUGGGAUAACUUCGGGAAACCGGAGCUAAUACCGGAUAAUAUAUUGAACCGCAUGGUUCAAUAGUGAAAGACGGUUUUGCUGUCACUUAUAGAUGGAUCCGCGCCGCAUUAGCUAGUUGGUAAGGUAACGGCUUACCAAGGCAACGAUGCGUAGCCGACCUGAGAGGGUGAUCGGCCACACUGGAACUGAGACACGGUCCAGACUCCUACGGGAGGCAGCAGCGG